RNAcentral lists this ribosomal RNA (251 nucleotides) under uncultured bacterium. Its description in RNAcentral is "partial 16S ribosomal RNA". It matches the Rfam family "Bacterial small subunit ribosomal RNA", at positions 525 to 775 of the family's 1533-position model. The record is from RNAcentral.
ACGUAGGUCACAAGCGUUGUCCGGAAUUACUGGGUGUAAAGGGAGCGCAGGCGGGAGAACAAGUUGGAAGUGAAAUCCAUGGGCUCAACCCAUGAACUGCUUUCAAAACUGUUUUUCUUGAGUAGUGCAGAGGUAGGCGGAAUUCCCGGUGUAGCGGUGGAAUGCGUAGAUAUCGGGAGGAACACCAGUGGCGAAGGCGGCCUACCGGGCACCAACUGACGCUGAGGCUCGAAAGUGUGGGUAGCAAACAG